RNAcentral lists this ribosomal RNA (1504 nucleotides) under Enterobacter asburiae. RNAcentral describes it as "bacterial SSU rRNA". It matches the Rfam family "Bacterial small subunit ribosomal RNA". The record is from RNAcentral. Lineage: Bacteria; Pseudomonadati; Pseudomonadota; Gammaproteobacteria; Enterobacterales; Enterobacteriaceae.
AGAGUUUGAUUAUGGCUCAGAUUGAACGCUGGCGGCAGGCCUAACACAUGCAAGUCGAGCGGUAGCACAGAGAGCUUGCUCUUGGGUGACGAGCGGCGGACGGGUGAGUAAUGUCUGGGAAACUGCCUGAUGGAGGGGGAUAACUACUGGAAACGGUAGCUAAUACCGCAUAACGUCGCAAGACCAAAGAGGGGGACCUUCGGGCCUCUUGCCAUCAGAUGUGCCCAGAUGGGAUUAGCUAGUAGGUGGGGUAACGGCUCACCUAGGCGACGAUCCCUAGCUGGUCUGAGAGGAUGACCAGCCACACUGGAACUGAGACACGGUCCAGACUCCUACGGGAGGCAGCAGUGGGGAAUAUUGCACAAUGGGCGCAAGCCUGAUGCAGCCAUGCCGCGUGUAUGAAGAAGGCCUUCGGGUUGUAAAGUACUUUCAGCGGGGAGGAAGGUGUUGAGGUUAAUAACCUCAGCAAUUGACGUUACCCGCAGAAGAAGCACCGGCUAACUCCGUGCCAGCAGCCGCGGUAAUACGGAGGGUGCAAGCGUUAAUCGGAAUUACUGGGCGUAAAGCGCACGCAGGCGGUCUGUCAAGUCGGAUGUGAAAUCCCCGGGCUCAACCUGGGAACUGCAUUCGAAACUGGCAGGCUAGAGUCUUGUAGAGGGGGGUAGAAUUCCAGGUGUAGCGGUGAAAUGCGUAGAGAUCUGGAGGAAUACCGGUGGCGAAGGCGGCCCCCUGGACAAAGACUGACGCUCAGGUGCGAAAGCGUGGGGAGCAAACAGGAUUAGAUACCCUGGUAGUCCACGCCGUAAACGAUGUCGACUUGGAGGUUGUGCCCUUGAGGCGUGGCUUCCGGAGCUAACGCGUUAAGUCGACCGCCUGGGGAGUACGGCCGCAAGGUUAAAACUCAAAUGAAUUGACGGGGGCCCGCACAAGCGGUGGAGCAUGUGGUUUAAUUCGAUGCAACGCGAAGAACCUUACCUACUCUUGACAUCCAGAGAACUUUCCAGAGAUGGAUUGGUGCCUUCGGGAACUCUGAGACAGGUGCUGCAUGGCUGUCGUCAGCUCGUGUUGUGAAAUGUUGGGUUAAGUCCCGCAACGAGCGCAACCCUUAUCCUUUGUUGCCAGCGGUCCGGCCGGGAACUCAAAGGAGACUGCCAGUGAUAAACUGGAGGAAGGUGGGGAUGACGUCAAGUCAUCAUGGCCCUUACGAGUAGGGCUACACACGUGCUACAAUGGCGCAUACAAAGAGAAGCGACCUCGCGAGAGCAAGCGGACCUCAUAAAGUGCGUCGUAGUCCGGAUUGGAGUCUGCAACUCGACUCCAUGAAGUCGGAAUCGCUAGUAAUCGUAGAUCAGAAUGCUACGGUGAAUACGUUCCCGGGCCUUGUACACACCGCCCGUCACACCAUGGGAGUGGGUUGCAAAAGAAGUAGGUAGCUUAACCUUCGGGAGGGCGCUUACCACUUUGUGAUUCAUGACUGGGGUGAAGUCGUAACAAGGUAACCGUA